UGGGGAAUAUUGGACAAUGGGCGCAAGCCUGAUCCAGCCAUGCCGCGUGAGUGACGAAGGCCUUAGGGUUGUAAAGCUCUUUUGGCGGGGACGAUAAUGACGGUACCCGCAGAAUAAGCCCCGGCUAACUUCGUGCCAGCAGCCGCGGUAAUACGAAGGGGGCUAGCGUUGUUCGGAAUUACUGGGCGUAAAGCGCACGUAGGCGGACUUUCAAGUCAGGGGUGAAAUCCCGGGGCUCAACCUCGGAACUGCCUCUGAUACUGUUGGUCUUGAAUCCGGUAGAGGUGGGUGGAAUUCCUAGUGUAGAGGUGAAAUUCGCAGAUAUUAGGAAGAACACCGGUGGCGAAGGCGGCCCACUGGACCGGUAUUGACGCUGAGGUGCGAAAGCGUGGGGAGCAAACAGGAUUAGAUACCCCAGUAGUCCCUGAGCGGGCUGGCAAGGCGCAU
RNAcentral lists this ribosomal RNA (447 nucleotides) under uncultured bacterium. RNAcentral's name for it is "bacterial SSU rRNA". It matches the Rfam family "Bacterial small subunit ribosomal RNA", at positions 355 to 825 of the family's 1533-position model. The record is from RNAcentral.